GGGUUGUGAGGUUAAGCGACUAAGCGUACACGGUGGAUGCCCUGGCAGUCAGAGGCGAUGAAGGACGUGCUAAUCUGCGAAAAGCGUCGGUAAGGUGAUAUGAACCGUUAUAACCGGCGAUGUCCGAAUGGGGAAACCCAGUGUGAUUCGUCACACUAUCGUUAACUGAAUACAUAGGUUAACGAGGCGAACCGGGGGAACUGAAACAUCUAAGUACCCCGAGGAAAAGAAAUCAACCGAGAUUCCCCCAGUAGCGGCGAGCGAACGGGGAGCAGCCCAGAGUCUGAAUCAGCUUGUGUGUUAGUGGAACGGUCUGGAAAGUCCGACGGUACAGGGUGAUAGUCCCGUACACCAAAAUGCACAGGUUGUGAACUCGAAGAGUAGGGCGGGACACGUGGUAUCCUGUCUGAAUAUGGGGGGACCAUCCUCCAAGGCUAAAUACUCCUGACUGACCGAUAGUGAACCAGUACCGUGAGGGAAAGGCGAAAAGAACCCCGGCGAGGGGAGUGAAAAAGAACCUGAAACCGUGUACGUACAAGCAGUGGGAGCACCUUCGGGUGUGACUGCGUACCUUUUGUAUAAUGGGUCAGCGACUUAUAUUCUGUAGCAAGGUUAACCGUAUAGGGGAGCCGCAGGGAAACCGAGUCUUAACUGGGCGUUAAGUUGCAGGGUAUAGACCCGAAACCCGGUGAUCUAGCCAUGGGCAGGUUGAAGGUUGGGUAACACUAACUGGAGGACCGAACCGACUAAUGUUGAAAAAUUAGCGGAUGACUUGUGGCUGGGGGUGAAAGGCCAAUCAAACCGGGAGAUAGCUGGUUCUCCCCGAAAGCUAUUUAGGUAGCGCCUCGUGAAUUCAUCUUCGGGGGUAGAGCACUGUUUCGGCUAGGGGGUCAUCCCGACUUACCAACCCGAUGCAAACUACGAAUACCGAAGAAUGUUAUCACGGGAGACACACGGCGGGUGCUAACGUCCGUCGUGAAGAGGGAAACAACCCAGACCGCCAGCUAAGGUCCCAAAGUCAUGGUUAAGUGGGAAACGAUGUGGGAAGGCACAGACAGCCAGGAUGUUGGCUUAGAAGCAGCCAUCAUUUAAAGAAAGCGUAAUAGCUCACUGGUCGAGUCGGCCUGCGCGGAAGAUGUAACGGGGCUAAACCAUGCACCGAAGCUGCGGCAGCGACACUAUGUGUUGUUGGGUAGGGGAGCGUUCUGUAAGCCUGCGAAGGUGACCUGUGAGGGUUGCUGGAGGUAUCAGAAGUGCGAAUGCUGACAUAAGUAACGAUAAAGCGGGUGAAAAGCCCGCUCGCCGGAAGACCAAGGGUUCCUGUCCAACGUUAAUCGGGGCAGGGUGAGUCGACCCCUAAGGCGAGGCCGAAAGGCGUAGUCGAUGGGAAACAGGUUAAUAUUCCUGUACUUGGUGUUACUGCGAAGGGGGGACGGAGAAGGCUAUGUUAGCCGGGCGACGGUUGUCCCGGUUUAAGCAUGUAGGCUGGUUGUCCAGGCAAAUCCGGAUAAUCAAGGCUGAGGUGUGAUGACGAGGCACUACGGUGCUGAAGUAACAAAUGCCCUGCUUCCAGGAAAAGCCUCUAAGCAUCAGGUAACAUCAAAUCGUACCCCAAACCGACACAGGUGGUCAGGUAGAGAAUACCAAGGCGCUUGAGAGAACUCGGGUGAAGGAACUAGGCAAAAUGGUGCCGUAACUUCGGGAGAAGGCACGCUGGUGUGUAGGUGAAGUCCCUGCGGAUGGAGCUGAGACCAGUCGAAGAUACCAGCUGGCUGCAACUGUUUAUUAAAAACACAGCACUGUGCAAACACGAAAGUGGACGUAUACGGUGUGACGCCUGCCCGGUGCCGGAAGGUUAAUUGAUGGGGUUAUCCGUAAGGAGAAGCUCUUGAUCGAAGCCCCGGUAAACGGCGGCCGUAACUAUAACGGUCCUAAGGUAGCGAAAUUCCUUGUCGGGUAAGUUCCGACCUGCACGAAUGGCGUAAUGAUGGCCAGGCUGUCUCCACCCGAGACUCAGUGAAAUUGAACUCGCUGUGAAGAUGCAGUGUACCCGCGGCAAGACGGAAAGACCCCGUGAACCUUUACUAUAGCUUGACACUGAACAUUGAGCCUUGAUGUGUAGGAUAGGUGGGAGGCUUUGAAGCGUGGACGCCAGUCUGCGUGGAGCCAACCUUGAAAUACCACCCUUUAAUGUUUGAUGUUCUAACGUUGGCCCCUUACCGGGGUUGCGGACAGUGUCUGGUGGGUAGUUUGACUGGGGCGGUCUCCUCCCAAAGCGUAACGGAGGAGCACGAAGGUUAGCUAAUCCUGGUCGGACAUCAGGAGGUUAGUGCAAUGGCAUAAGCUAGCUUGACUGCGAGCGUGACGGCGCGAGCAGGUGCGAAAGCAGGUCAUAGUGAUCCGGUGGUUCUGAAUGGAAGGGCCAUCGCUCAACGGAUAAAAGGUACUCCGGGGAUAACAGGCUGAUACCGCCCAAGAGUUCAUAUCGACGGCGGUGUUUGGCACCUCGAUGUCGGCUCAUCACAUCCUGGGGCUGAAGUAGGUCCCAAGGGUAUGGCUGUUCGCCAUUUAAAGUGGUACGCGAGCUGGGUUUAGAACGUCGUGAGACAGUUCGGUCCCUAUCUGCCGUGGGCGCUGGAGAAUUGAGGGGGGCUGCUCCUAGUACGAGAGGACCGGAGUGGACGCAUCACUGGUGUUCGGGUUGUCAUGCCAAUGGCACUGCCCGGUAGCUAAAUGCGGAAGAGAUAAGUGCUGAAAGCAUCUAAGCACGAAACUUGCCCCGAGAUGAGUUCUCCCUGAGACUUUAAGUCUCCUGAAGGAACGUUGAAGACGACGACGUUGAUAGGCCGGGUGUGUAAGCGCAGCGAUGCGUUGAGCUAACCGGUACUAAUGAACCGUGAGGCUUAACCUUACAACGCCGAAG
RNAcentral lists this ribosomal RNA (2923 nucleotides) under Klebsiella pneumoniae. Its description in RNAcentral is "bacterial LSU rRNA". It matches the Rfam family "Bacterial large subunit ribosomal RNA". Lineage: Bacteria; Pseudomonadati; Pseudomonadota; Gammaproteobacteria; Enterobacterales; Enterobacteriaceae. The record is from RNAcentral.